This 656-nucleotide long non-coding RNA is filed under the name Chinchilla lanigera (long-tailed chinchilla). Its description in RNAcentral is "lncRNA (ENSCLAG00000027182.1)". Lineage: Eukaryota; Metazoa; Chordata; Mammalia; Rodentia; Chinchillidae. The record is from RNAcentral.
UUUUAAAACUUCAUCUCUUGAGCCAGGCAUGGUGGCACAUGCCUGUAAUCCCAGCAAUCAGAAGGCUGAGGCAGGAGGGUCACUGUGAGUUUGGGGCCAGCCUGUACUACAGAGAGAGUUCAAGGCCAGCCUGCACUGCAUAGUGUAACGCUGUUUCAAAACGACAAAAUAAAAUAAAACUUCACCUUGACUUUUGAGUGUUAUUACGUGAAGUGGCAACGUUCCACCAGCGCUGGGGAGCAGGGAGCACAUAUCGCUUUCUCCUGUCCACAGCCAGCCUUCUGGCCGAGAUCCUGAGUACACUUGGCAAGGCACACACCACUGUAAGACAAAUUCCAUUCCUUCAUUCAGGUAAUGUGUGUUGGAUCGGCUUCGGUAUACUGAGACCCAUAGGAGAUGAAGAAUGAUGAUUCAUGAAGAAUGACAUAGAAGAGUUAAGUCUGGUGUGAAAGCAGGACUACACCAAAAUUCCAAAACAUGUGCUAAUUCCACCAGGGUAACAAGAAAGUCAAGAACAGUCUUGGGCCUGGAAGACUUUGUAAAGAUGAGGAAUUGGUUCUCUGCUGACCUGGAGAACUGGAGACGGAUAGAAAUGCAUUACUGACUAAGGAGACAGAGGCUCAGAAGUCCAUGCGGAGACUGUAAAUCAUACACAU